GUAUGUUUUUACUGUUUACCUUGUCAACCUACUUUAGGUUUACCUAGCGACCUCAUAACAUCGUUUUAGGUAAUGCUAUUUGCAGACGGAUGUCAAAAUGGCGCGUGACACUGGUGUUGAGGGCUGCGUUGAAGCCCUGACACGUGAAAGGGGUUUUAUGCUGGUUUUUGGAUCUUCCCAUACGAUAAUAAGCCUGAAUAAGCAUGUAAAAGUGGUCAAGUUUGACUUUGCGUGUGAUUAUUCACGGUCUCAAAACCACUUGUCUCCAUCAUCACCCAAAAUCUGCCAUAAUCCUUCAGCUGCAUUCACUAAGCCUGUCUGUUGCAGCACUCGUCCAGUCUCCAGUGUCCUGUAGCUUCUUUCAUUAAACGGCAGAACCAAUUGUAGUUUUAACUCCUCUCCCUGGGCUAUCCGGUGACAGGCUCUGGAUCGGCCCGCUGUGUCUGUCCCGAUUGAUGCGUUUCCAGACAAGCCCAAGGCUUCUCCAGAGAGCCAGGCGGAGAGGGGGGCCUCAUCUCUACCAUUACCCAGCUUGUUCCCACUCCAGAUGGGUCUCUUCCGCAGCAUUCCCUCCCUCCAGACCACAGAGUGAGGAAUUCCAUAUGUUUGGGAAGGGGAGAACAUCUGCAGAUAAGGGAAGAGCGUUUUAUAUGAAGGAAACCAACAAUCCCACUGUUCCAAAAGACUAUAGGAAGAGGCAGAGCAGCCUGGCAGCCCACUCUGCAUGAGUUUCCAUGUGAGUCAUAUCCAAACUUCUCCGAACCUCAGCCAAGAAAGUCUCAUGAGUUAGUAAAGGAGGUGGAGACAAAGAGAGAAAGGACGAGGAGAAUGCCAUUAUUCCAUAAAAGAGCUGAUGGAAGGCAGACAGAGAAAUGACCCACCUCAGGCAGAGUCUUUUCUUUCUCACUUUCUCUCCCACUGCUGAUCAUGAUGCAUAAGUCCACGGUGUAGAAAAAAAAUCAUCCCCAUUCCCCUCCCCAAAACAGCAUUAAGUGAAUGAGAUGUCUGUUGGCUUUCAGACAGAAAUUGGCAGGGCUUCUGGCAUAUAUUUCAUCAGUGGUCCAGCCUCGCCUCCAUCCCAGGGAAUUAAUGGCCGGGAUUUUCAUGAAUGUGAAAGCAGCACAGCUUGGUAACCACGCACAAUAACUGAAGAUGCGUGAGCACACUUUGUGAGUAUGUAGGUGCUACUGCUGUAAUGUUCUGGAAAUGUGUGUGUGUGUGUGUGUGUGGUCCUAAGUAUUCCCUAUGUUAUGGGCAGGGGUGGACUGGAGCCAAAAAGUGGACUUUU
This is a long non-coding RNA of Onychostoma macrolepis, 1288 nucleotides long. RefSeq lists it as uncharacterized. The transcript is spliced from 3 exons. The record is from RefSeq and is a predicted model, not a curated record. Lineage: Eukaryota; Metazoa; Chordata; Actinopteri; Cypriniformes; Cyprinidae.